GUGCGCGCUUGGAGCGCUGGUUCUGGGGCCCGGCUGGGCCGGGAUCCGCAGGGAUGUGCGCGCUUGGAGCGCUGGUUCUGGGGCCCGGCUGGGCCGGGAUCCGCAGGGAUGUGCGCGCUUGGAGCGCUGGUUCUGGGGCCCGGCUGCUGCGGGACGGGUGUCCCUGUGCCACCCCUGAGGGUCGCAGAGAGAAGCUGCUGCUGUGGCUGCGGCCGAGGCUCAGUGCGGAAAACUGAGCAGUCGUGGUGGAAUAUGAUGGAAAACCAAAUUUUGUUUGGUUUUGGAUUUUCCCAGAAGUUUUUUGGUUUUGCUUUUGUUAUUUUGUUUACAUUUUCCCCUGAGCCCACCUGUGUGUUUUGCCUUAGGAAAUGGGAACAGGAGACAGAAGGGGGAAUGGGGACAAAGACAAUUUUUUACCCCAAAAGGGACGAGUGCAUUUAUAUUUAUUUUCUGACCCAGCUGGAAUGAUUUGGUCUCAGGAGGCACCUGGGAGCCUCCUUUUGUCCUGGAUGGGGCCGUGGCUGUAAAAGGGGUAAAGGGUGGAGCAGAGGUGGGCAGAGGAGUAGUGGUUGUGAUCAAUGAUAAAUUGGGGAUUUGCAUCUGGAAACAGCCAUUGUUUUCUUCAUGGGAGUCUUGGAAACAGAAGGGAGAGUCCGUGAGAAAUGAGGAUACUGCAGCUGGAGCGCUGGCAACGGAGCGUCUGCAGGGAAUAUUGCCUGGGACAGCGUCUUAGCCCAGGUCUCGGGAGCUGUGUGCACAUUCCUCCCUGGAGCAGGGAACCCCCGUGAGGAGGAGCCAGAGAUGGGGGCAUCGAACCAGAAAUGGGCAUCUGUGUGUGCACGUGCUUCCUGGCAAAUCCAGAUGUGACAUGGAAAUCCUAAGUGAGGAUUUCCAGCCUUGACUGCACGUGACACAGGCUUCUGAAAAUGGAACUGGCCUUGGCAGAAGAGCAGCUGAGAAGGGAAGCAGAACUAAAAUACCUGCAAGCACAAAAACCAAGUGCAGUGGUACUGCUUGGUCCUGUGUGCACCUCCUGCCUCUGCCUGCUGUGAGCACCUGGUGUUGCAGCUCAAUGUUCUUCAUUUCAGUGUCUGUUGGGUUUGGUUGUUGUGGUCAUUUCCUCCAAACACCUCCCCUUCUUUACUGGACACAUCCCUGGAGUGGGACCAGAGUCCCCCUUUCCCUGCAGGAAUUCUCUGCUCCUCUGGACAGGGGGUGAAGCUGGGGGUUAUGAGCCAAGGAAAACAACCAAGCCAUGGGCAUUCUGUCCUUGAUGCAUGCAGCAGCACCUGUUCUCCAAGUUCCCAGCACUGAUGACUCUAAAGAAAAUGCCUGUUCCCUCACUUCUCCAGCUCCCCCCUGCCCCACCUCCCCUGCUCUGAUCCCUGGUGUGCCAAGGUCCUGCAGCUCCCUGGCUCUCCAGCUGCAGCUGCCUUGUCCUGCCUGUGCCUGAUACAAUAUGGGCCUGAGGUUUUUUUAGCAGCAAUCCAUUCUUUUAAAGAG
Molecule: long non-coding RNA, 1503 nt
Organism: Catharus ustulatus (Swainson's thrush)
Lineage: Eukaryota; Metazoa; Chordata; Aves; Passeriformes; Turdidae
Exons: 3
Source: RefSeq, a predicted model, not a curated record